Molecule: long non-coding RNA, 258 nt
Filed under: Brassica napus (rape)
Lineage: Eukaryota; Viridiplantae; Streptophyta; Magnoliopsida; Brassicales; Brassicaceae
Description: long non-coding RNA (BNAP_LNC022836)
Source: RNAcentral
UUGAAGCUUAGUGAUGCUAGUCUCUGUUAACAUGGCCUCGGUUUCGUGGUUUAGAAUAUUCCUAGCCAUCUAAUAUACUGAUUCUACAGCAUAGUGACCACUUUGUGUAUAAUUCCAACAAAAUUUAUUGUUUUGAGUGGAUUGGCUUGCGGUUAAACUCUGAAUAGAUGGUAUAUCUUCCGGUACAACUAGACUCUCUAACUUUUCCACAUUCCAUCCUUUAAUUUUAUGAUAAAUAAAAUCACUCACUGACAUCCU